CCCACACUCCAGCCUGCCCUGCUCAGUCAAGGGCUCUGGCACGGGCCGCUCUCCCCUGGGGACUGGACGGCCUGGGCGCACACCCUGGCCCCCAGCUCUCCUCCAGCCCAGGGUGCCUGCCUUCCUCCCUCCUUUCCCCACACCCAAGGGAGAGCUGUGGGGA
This is a long non-coding RNA of Sapajus apella (tufted capuchin), 163 nucleotides long. RefSeq lists it as uncharacterized. The record is from RefSeq and is a predicted model, not a curated record. The transcript is spliced from 3 exons. NCBI's taxonomy places the organism in Eukaryota, Metazoa, Chordata, Mammalia, Primates, Cebidae.